Molecule: ribosomal RNA, 579 nt
Filed under: Segatella copri
Lineage: Bacteria; Pseudomonadati; Bacteroidota; Bacteroidia; Bacteroidales; Prevotellaceae
Description: partial 23S ribosomal RNA
Rfam family: Bacterial large subunit ribosomal RNA
Source: RNAcentral
AAGAAAGUAAGAAAGGGCGUAUGGCGGAUGCCUAGGCUCACGGAGGCGAUGAAGGACGUGAUAAGCUGCGAUAAGCUUCGGGUAGGUGCAAAUAACCCUUGAUCCGGAGAUUUCCGAAUGGGACAACCUAGCCGUCUGAAGGACGGUUACUCUUACCAGUGUAAGAGAGCUAACGCAGGGAACUGAAACAUCUUAGUACCUGCAGGAAGAGAAAAUAAAUGAAUGAUUCCCCCAGUAGUGGCGAGCGAACGGGGAACAGCCCAAACCAGUGGCGUCGCAAGGCGUGGCUGGGGUUGUAGGACCGCGACAUUGUACUGAAAUGGUGAGUGGAAGUAUCUGGAAAGUUACAUCACAGAAGGUGAUAAUCCUGUACACGAAGCCAGAUCAGGCAUAGCGGUAUCCUGAGUAACGCGGGACACGAGGAAUCCUGCGCGAAUCUGCCGGGACCAUCCGGUAAGGCUAAAUACUCCCGUGAGACCGAUAGCGAACGAGUACUGUGAAGGAAAGGUGAAAAGAACCCCGAGCAGGGGAGUGAAAUAGUUCCUGAAACCAUACGCCUACAAGCGGUCGGAGCAUCUU